This 232-nucleotide long non-coding RNA is filed under the name Lathyrus oleraceus (garden pea). Its description in RNAcentral is "Pisum sativum (pea) long non-coding RNA (PSAT_LNC034747)". Lineage: Eukaryota; Viridiplantae; Streptophyta; Magnoliopsida; Fabales; Fabaceae. The record is from RNAcentral.
GUGUUAUGUGCUUGUGUAUAAAGCUAAUAAGAAACUUUAUGAAAUAAAUUUGGUAAGAUAUUGACGAGUACAAUAGAGGAUCAUAGAGGCUUAUGAUGUGAGCUUAUACAAGGGUACAAUUAAGUCUUUUGUUAUUUUCCUUUAUGACUUAUAUGUCUUCUUGUGAAAUGAGGGUGACUGGGUUUAUUUUAUUAAUUGUAAUUACAAAGAAUUUUAUUGAUCACACCACCAU